This 484-nucleotide ribosomal RNA is filed under the name uncultured bacterium. RNAcentral describes it as "partial 16S ribosomal RNA". It matches the Rfam family "Bacterial small subunit ribosomal RNA", at positions 30 to 507 of the family's 1533-position model. The record is from RNAcentral.
AUUGAACGCUGGCGGCAGGCCUAACACAUGCAAGUCGAGCGGAUGAAGGGAGCUUGCUCCUGGAUUCAGCGGCGGACGGGUGAGUAAUGCCUAGGAAUCUGCCUGGUAGUGGGGGAUAACGUCCGGAAACGGGCGCUAAUACCGCAUACGUCCUGAGGGAGAAAGUGGGGGAUCUUCGGACCUCACGCUUUCAUAUGAGCCUAGGUCGGUUUCGCUAGUUGGUGGGGUAAAGGCCUACCAAGGCGACUAUCCGUAACUGGUCUGAGAGGAUGAUCAGUCACACUGGAACUGAGAAACGGUCCAGACUCCUACGGGAGGCAGCAGUGGGGAAUAUUGGACAAUGGGCGAAAGCCUGAUCCAGCCAUGCCGCGUGUGUGAAGAAGGUCUUCGGAUUGUAAAGCACUUUAAGUUGGGAGGAAGGGCAGUAAGUUAAUACCUUGCUGUUUUGACGUUACCAACAGAAUAAGCACCGGCUAACUUCGUG